Molecule: ribosomal RNA, 332 nt
Filed under: uncultured Sporosarcina sp.
Lineage: Bacteria; Bacillati; Bacillota; Bacilli; Caryophanales; Caryophanaceae
Description: bacterial SSU rRNA
Rfam family: Bacterial small subunit ribosomal RNA
Source: RNAcentral
CGCGCAGGCGGCCUUUUAAGUCUGAUGUGAAAGCCCACGGCUCAACCGUGGAAGGUCAUUGGAAACUGAAAGGCUUGAGUACAGAAGAGGAAAGCGGAAUUCCACGUGUAGCGGUGAAAUGCGUAGAGAUGUGGAGGAACACCAGUGGCGAAGGCGGCUUUCUGGUCUGUAACUGACGCUGAGGCGCGAAAGCGUGGGGAGCAAACAGGAUUAGAUACCCUGGUAGUCCACGCCGUAAACGAUGAGUGCUAAGUGUUAGGGGGUUUCCGCCCCUUAGUGCUGGAGCAAACGCAUUAAGCACUCCGCCUGGGGAGUACGGCCGCAAGGCUGAA